This is a long non-coding RNA of Dendroctonus ponderosae (mountain pine beetle), 1181 nucleotides long. RefSeq lists it as uncharacterized. Lineage: Eukaryota; Metazoa; Arthropoda; Insecta; Coleoptera; Curculionidae. The transcript is spliced from 3 exons. The record is from RefSeq and is a predicted model, not a curated record.
ACAAGAGCUUUUUGCGUCGAAAUCCUUCUUUAACUGAAAGGCAGACAGAAGCAGUAACAUCGGCAAGUGCCAACGUUAGUGAAAAUAAUAUACGAGAUGGACACACCACACACCUUUCUUUACAAGUUAGUCAAUCGUGUAAAAAGUUAAAUAUAAUCCUGAUAGCUCUUUACCCUAACGCAACGCGAAUCUUACAGCCGGCGGAUGUUUCCGCUUUCAAACCCUUAAAGACAAUAUGGAAGAAGGGGGUAAUCGAUUGGAGAACAGAACAUCCCACCGAAUCAUUAUCCAGAGAAAAAUUGGCACUAAUUCUAGAAAAAAAUUUACCAAAAUUAAAAUUUGACUCCAUCGCCAAUGGUUUUCGUGUAUGUGGGUUGUUCCCUUGGAAUCCCGACGCUGUGGAUUACUCAAAGUGCUUAGGGAAAAACAAUGUUUUACUUAACACAUGUGAAAGUAGUAAAGUAUUCACCGAAAAAACUCUUAACUAUUAAAAGUUUAAGCAAGUGGUGGGGCAAUAAAAGCUAGUUCAGUUUAAAACAAAUCAUGUCACAUACGAGAACAACGAUUCUGAAAUUUUGUACAAAUUAUAUAAUUUUUUUGAAAAUCAAGAAAUUAACAACAUGGUAGACAUGUCUAAUGAAAUAAGCCAAAAUGUGGGGCAAGUGACGAUCUUAAAACAUCAUCACUUAGACAACAACAUAGAAAUUCUUGAAACAAAAAAUUUCGUACAAAAAAAUAACACUCCGUUGAUGAAACAAUAUCUUACCUGGCCAAUUUCACCACAGCGAAAAGGAAGUAAAAAUUCGGAAAAGUUGCCAUUUGUACUUACAUCAGACCAAUGGCAAAACAUACAAACUGAAAAAAUCGUCAAAAGGAAAAGGAAGAAGAAGCAAAGCAAGAAAUGAAAAAGAAGAGGUCAGAACUAGCUAAAGCUAAAAAAGCGAGGACAACUAAGAUCAUAGAAAUAGAAACUGAUGUUGCUUAAAGUGCCAAUAACUAUAUAGUUUACCCUACUUGAAUGGCAUAGAAAUGGCACAAUUCCGCGAGGGUCCUGGACAGUUACACACUACAGUGCUGCAAAUUGCUUAUCUGAAGGGGCAGGAUUCAAAUUACAAAACCGCAUUGCUGCCAAUAUGCAGGCGUCGCCUCGCCUGCUGAAUAAAUAAAAGGGCUUUAGAACA